Molecule: transfer RNA, 72 nt
Filed under: Camelus bactrianus (Bactrian camel)
Lineage: Eukaryota; Metazoa; Chordata; Mammalia; Artiodactyla; Camelidae
Also listed under: 2 other names
Rfam family: tRNA
About the family: Transfer RNA (tRNA) molecules are approximately 80 nucleotides in length. Their secondary structure includes four short double-helical elements and three loops (D, anti-codon, and T loops). Further hydrogen bonds mediate the characteristic L-shaped molecular structure. tRNAs have two regions of fundamental functional importance: the anti-codon, which is responsible for specific mRNA codon recognition, and the 3' end, to which the tRNAs corresponding amino acid is attached (by aminoacyl-tRNA synthetases). tRNAs cope with the degeneracy of the genetic code in two manners: having more than one tRNA (with a specific anti-codon) for a particular amino acid; and 'wobble' base-pairing, i.e. permitting non-standard base-pairing at the 3rd anti-codon position.
Source: Rfam by way of RNAcentral
GAGGGUAUAGCUUAGUGGUAAAGUGCAUGCCUAGCAUGCACAAGGUCCUGGGCUCAAUUCAUAGUACCUCUG